AAAAUUGAUGAAAAAAACUCAAACCUCUCUCUUCUCUUUCCAUUAUCAAUCGCCAUAUCUGAUGCUCUGUUGGAGCAUUCCUGCCGCUGCCUCCUCCACUUGUGCUGCCUUCACCCAUCACUUUUGCUGCCACCUCCACCCCUCCAUGCUCCACUCGCUGGCCAUUGCAUAACUCAGGUUGAAAUUAUGGGGUUUUAAUUAGUUUCUGUCAGUCUCCUCCUUCCCUUCCAGUGAAUGAAUUGAGAAUUGAUUCGAUGAGGGAAAAAUGAAAUUUCAUUACCAAUUUGGCAAAAUUCAUUGAUCAAUUCCAUCUAAGGGUCCAGGAACAAACAAAAGUGCCCAACUUCUUCGUUAUUUCCUUGAAGCCGAUACUUGUUCAGGAGAGAACGAGGAAUAGUCUCUAUUAUUAGCAGUUGAAUUGGUAAAAAGGGGCAAUUUCCUCGUACAAAAAUUGAAGCUACAUUAGAAGAAGUCGUCUUCGGCCCCUCCAAACUUCAUUCGCUUGCUUUGUAGUUCCAGAUCUUCAUCAAGUCAAGAAAUCCCAGUUGCAAACAAUAAAUACCACACUUGUACGGUUUACUCCAGGAUUGACUGAUACUAUAACCAAUAUGAUAUGGCUUUGCAAUUUACUCCCUACUAUUCCAGAUUUUUCAGAUAUGGCAUCUGAAGCAACAUCUCAGUCAAAAGGGAAAGGCAAAGGGUAUUUCACUUGGACUCCUGAUAUGGAUCGUGUAAUGGGCACCUGUUUUAUUGACCAAAUGAACCAAGGAAACAAAUUGGAUGGUAAAUGUGCAUGGAAGACAGCAGCCUACACCGCCGUAAUGAAUGCUUUAUUCGAUAAGCUAUAUAUAUGAUAAGUAUCUGGAGUGGUCACCUGAGAAUUGAUAUGCGUAGAACAGCUAUGCCGAAUAGGAAAGAUUUUUGGGUGAAACAGAGCGAGCAAGAUCCAUCUCUGAGCUUGCAAUUCAGCAACCUGCAUUAGACAUUCCACAGUUACUAUGGAAGGAAUCCAUCGACUUUGAGAUACCGGUGAAGGACUUGUCCUUGAGCUGCAUGAACCUAUGUGGUGAUCAAUGUUGCUGUUUUUUUUUUGUUUUUUUCAUGCUAUCCAGAUGCUUGUUGAGCACAUUUCACAUCAUACUAGAGAUUGGUUAAGAAGUGUUAUUUGUCGAGUCUGAUUGGACAUGCAAGUCAGAAAAUGAUACUUGUGUUGGCAUUUAAAUUUUGCUUCCAAAUUUUUUUGCUGGCCUUUGGCAUUUUCAUUCGGUUGUAUUGUUAGGUCACUGGAGGAAGAGCAUCUAGGAGUCUUGAGUUGCUGUAAUUUCUAUGUUUUUGCACUCGCUGAAUGUGUAUUUUAGGUAUUUUUGCUGUUGAGGUUUUACACAUAAUUAAAUCUUAAACACAUUGGUGUUGGAGUAAUCAGUAAUUUCUGACUACUGUGACACAUUGUAGAAAAUUUGAAGUAUGGGGAGUGAAAUGGAGACUUGGAACUUGUAGUAGUUA
Molecule: long non-coding RNA, 1503 nt
Organism: Coffea arabica (coffee)
Lineage: Eukaryota; Viridiplantae; Streptophyta; Magnoliopsida; Gentianales; Rubiaceae
Source: RefSeq, a predicted model, not a curated record